GAUGAACGCUGGCGGCGUGCCUAAUACAUGCAAGUCGAGCGAACAGACGAGGAGCUUGCUCCUCUGACGUUAGCGGCGGACGGGUGAGUAACACGUAGAUAACCUACCUAUAAGACUGGGAUAACUUCGGGAAACCGGAGCUAAUACCGGAUAAUAUAUUGAACCGCAUGGUUCAAUAGUGAAAGACGGUUUUGCUGUCACUUAUAGAUGGAUCCGCGCCGCAUUAGCUAGUUGGUAAGGUAACGGCCUACCAAGGCGACGAUGCGUAUCCGACCUGAAAGGCUGAGCCGCCCAACUGGACCUGAGCCACCGUCCAGGCCCCUAGGGGAGGAAGCAGUGGCGAAUAUUGGACAAUGGGCGCCAGCCUGGUACAGCCAUACCGCGUGGGUGAAGAAGGCCUUGGGGUUGUAAAGCCCUUUUGUUGGGAAAGAAAAGCAGCAGGUUAAUACACCGCUGUUCUGACCGUACCCAAAGAAUAAACACCGGCUAACUUCGUG
RNAcentral lists this ribosomal RNA (497 nucleotides) under uncultured bacterium. RNAcentral's name for it is "partial 16S ribosomal RNA". It matches the Rfam family "Bacterial small subunit ribosomal RNA", at positions 28 to 507 of the family's 1533-position model. The record is from RNAcentral.